AAUAGUUAUUGGAAAAUAUGUUAGUAAAAAUCAAAUUUUGAAUAUAUGUAUAUUUUUGAAUAGAUUUUUAAUAUAAAUCAAUUUUAAAUUAUUAUUUUGAUUUGAAUAUAUAUAUCAAGUAACAUAUACCUAUUACUUUUUAAUAUAAUGUAAUGGACUUCAAAUUAUUUUAUUAGCAUAAGCCCAUUAUUUUGUUUCCUAGCUUACCUAUCUAUGUGUCCAAACAAUACUAUUUUUUAACUACUAUUCAUAUUGCCAAACAAUCUCAAUGUGUACUUCAGCUUUAAUAAUAUAGAUAAUGUUACCAAGGACUGGUCUAUUUCAAAUAUUCAAUAAUGUGAAAAAGGCUUAUGUUAUUUUUAAGCACAUGAAAGUUGAUUUUCUCUGAAAUAUUUUUUUAGUAGCUGAAUGUUAGCUUUACAUAUCCAUAGGUAAAUAACCAAAAUGUCUCAGCAUAGAGGAGACACUACUUCCAACUUCUAGCAUGCAAUAAAAUGAAUUAACUAGAGAAGCAAACUAGCUCUCUGGUUAGACAAAAAGGCUUAUGUUAAGUACAUGCAAAUUAAGGUAUUUUGUUUCGCUUAAAAUGUAAUGUUUUGUUAUUUGAAACUUCGCAGCUUUUGAUUGGCGUUUAGACUUUCCUGUGAGGAUUGUCUGUAAAGAGUAUGUCUUGUCUUAGCGCUGUUGGUUGGUAAUAUAUAAUCUUUCAAAACAUUCAUCUUAUGGUAAAUAAUCUUUUGAUUGGAUAUAUAUGUUAAAUCAGAAACUCAAAAGCUAAAUUUUUCUCCAUUGUUAUCCAAAAAUAUAUUCUUACUCUUUCUGUGGUGACUUCAGUUUUCAUUCUUCUUUUACCUCUUCUCCUUGUACAUAGCACCAAAGCCAAACAUAAUAUAUCAUCCAAACUCACUCAGAGGGAGAGACAAUAUUCUCCCGGCAUAAUCAUUUUUGAUUAUCAACUUACUCUUUCACAUUUCCCAUUGCUUGGAAGAAUCUCAUUUCUUUUGAUGGGUUGUUUCCAGUCCAAAGAUGCUGAUCAUGUGAUCACUUCUCCUGAUCAUGUGAUCACUUCUCCUGAUCAUGUGAUCACUUCUCCUGAUCAUCCAUCAGUUCAGCACCAAUUAGAAUCAGGUUGACUCUAGUUUGCUUCUUAGUGGAAGUGUAGAUUAGUUUGUCUUUUGCCUAGUUUUGUCUUAACUCCUGUGUGCGUGUGUUUUAAUGAUUGGGGUGUUGGUGUAAAGUAAGAAUGAGAUGGAAAGUGUAUACCUCUCUAAACUACACUCCAAUAACUCCCCUAAGCCUUUUUUUUUAUGAUGAAACUGUUUUUGUGUUGCAGUAACUGAGGACCAAGUGGAGCAGGAGAGUCAGGUACCAUGUUUCAAACGCUUUGCAUUACGUGAACUGUUCGAUGCAACAAAUGGGUUUAGUGGCAAAUGCAUUGUCCCUGGAGGUGAGAUGCAAGAUCUCAAUCUGGUUUACGGAGGAAUGAUCGAAGGCACUGGUCUCGUCGCCAUCAAGCGACUCUCUAAAUUGACUUGGCCUGAUGCUCAGCAGUUUGUGGUAAGAAUCUUACAAGGGCUAAUUCAGAACUUGAGCUUUUUAUAUUAUGUUCAUUGAUCAUUAAAUGACUAGUCGAAGAUUAAAGCGGUUUAUAUAGUUAAUGUAGAAGUGGAAAAUAAUACAUUAGCUAAUGAUUCUGAAACUGUAGCUACCAUAUAUAUAUAGUUUAAUUAGAUUCUAUUGUAUUUGAAAAACAAAGAUGUUUUGGAACUUUGUUCUGUCUGUUUAUCUUGUCUGAAUUGUAAUAGUUGAUCUUGCGUUGACUACCGUUUUGACUUGUGGAAUCAGGAUCAGGCGACUGCUGUUGGAAAUCUUAGGUCCAAGAGAUUGGUCAAUCUGCUUGGUUAUUGCGUUGAAGGAGGCGAGAGAUUGUUGGUGGCUGAGUAUAUGCCCUAUGGUACUCUCUCAAAGCAUCUUUUUCAUUGUAAGAUGUUCCUCUAAUCUUUUAUCUGACUAUUUCCCUUUUGAUCUUCCCUUAGAGAAUUGAUGCUCUCUUUUGUUGUGUAGGGAACAGACAGGAAAUUCCUUGGGAAAUGCGUGUUCGAGUUGCAUAUUAUAUCGCACAAGCACUUGAUUACUGCAACAUUGAAAGCCAAAAGAUCUAUCAUGAUUUAAGUGCAUCCAGAAUCCUCUUUGAUGAGGACGGUGAUCCUCGUCUAUCAACGUUUGGUCUUAUCAAGAACAGUAGAUACGGAACAAGAUAUAGCACUAACUUGACUUACACUCCACCAGAGUUUUCAGAAACAGGUAAAGAUCUAACAAGUCUACGUCAAGAACAUUAAGGAAAAAAAACUUUCAUGAGAUGAAUCAAACGGAUAUCUUUCCCAUUUUUCAGGUAUAAUCAUUCCUGAAAGUGUGAUUUACCAUUAUGGAAAUGUUCUUGUAGAACUUGUGAGCGGCAAACACAUUCCACCGAACCAUGCUUUUGAUAUCAUAAUGGAGAAAAAUGCGAUGCUACUCAUGGAUUCAUCACUUGAAGGGAGAUUUGAGAGUGAAGACGCGACUAAGCUUCUUAAUCUUGCUUCAAAAUGUCUUCAAAAGAACCCGGAAGAUCGACCUGAUACUGAAUCUCUUAUCUCUGCAGCAGCACCACUACAAAAAUUGGAAGAGGUUAAAGAAUCAUGUAAGAAAUACUCAAAUUUCUUUUACCAAAUAAUUAAUUUUUGUGUGUUUAUGUUCAGAUUUCAUCUCAUUUCUUGAUGGGUCUGCCUAAGAAUCCAGUGUUACUACCAUCCAUGCCUUCUCCUCUCAGAAAGGCUUGUUCUCGGAUGGACCGCACUUAACUGGUUUAAACAAAGAACUUGGGAGAAAGUGCCUUCAGAGACCAGGACUUCACUAACAUAUCUUGAUUAAAUCUUAUUCAAAAGUACUCUAUCCGUUUCAUGUAUGGUCGUUCUGCACUUUAAAUUUUGUUCUAUUUUAAUUUUAUUUUAUAAUUUCAAAACUUAUCUUUAUCAAAAUUUCCAGUUUUAUCCAUAUUGUUAAUACAUUAGUUAGAAACAAAACAUAGCAUUUAGUUGUAACUAGGUGGUUUCUUGUGCAUGCGAAGAAAUGUUUUUAAAAAGUUAUAUUUAAAAAUUAUGUUUUACCUCUUUUAAAAUAAAAACUGAAAUCAUUAAUUAUUAUUUAUUUAAUUUUUCUAUUUAGUUUAAAAAUAUUUUAAUUUACUUUUUAUUUAGUUAAGUUUUAGUUCAAAUUAAGUUAAAAUGAAAAAAGAUACAUUUAUUUUAAAUAGUUAACACUAUAAAUUCAUGUACAUGUUUUUUUUAUACAUUUGUUGGUUAAAAUAUAUUAAUCAAUUAAUUUUAUUAUUGUAUUAUCUUAAUUUGUCAGUCUUAUACGAUGCAUUUUAUAGCGUUUAAAUUCAAAUAAAUUCAAUACUUGAAAACUCAACUAAUCAAAUAUUUAUGCUAAUUAAUAGAUCUAAGUAUAACUUUAAAAGGGCUGUUCGUUUGGUUGCUGCAGGUACCGGCGGCAGCGGCAGCGUCAACAUUCUGCGUCAACUCUUGUUCGUUUCGUUGACGCAGGAAGCUGCGUCUGACGCCGCGUCCGAACGCCGCGUCCGAACGCCGCGUCCGAACGCCGCGUCUUGCGGCUGACGCCGAUAAAACCUGCGGUUGCGACAUAGUAUGCGGCAGCGGCAGCGUCAGCGUCUGCGAAACGGACAACAACUGUCCUCAUUGACGCUGCCGCCGCCGCUGACGCUGACGCUGCCGCCGAAACCUGCGGCAACCAAACGAACAGGGCUAAAAUAUUUAGUUAAAUAUUCAUAGAAUUAUAGAAUUAUGAAUUUUGACCAUUUUUUCGUUAUGAUAUAUUUAAAAUUAAUAUGAUGGCGUAUAUAUAUAUUUAUACUAUCAAUUAUAGUAUUUUCUAAUAAUUUUAAUAAUAAUAAUGUAUAUGAUUUACAGUUAUGAUAUGUAGCCAAAUUUAAUCAUUAUCUCAUUUAAAGAAUCUACUGUUAUGGUAUGUAGUCAAAUUAUUUUUUAUCAACUUAUUUUAAGAAUAUUUCUAAAAUCAAAAUACUUGUCAUUAAAUAUAUGUCAUAAUAAGAUAUAAUAUAUGUCACAUUUCUUACUAGAUCAUGUUAUUAUAUUUUUUUUCAAAAUCAAUGUGAUGAUGACACAAGCAAAUUAAAAAAAAAAAAUUUAACAGUUUAAGAGAUUUUAAUAGGUGUGAGAAAACCUUAAACGAUAUUUAAUAUGAAACAAACACUACAAGAAAUAUCGGUAUUAAUAGCACCCGAAAAAUGCUAUCAUAUCGUUUUCAUAGCGUUUCGAAGAACGCCGUGAUAGCCGCAGCUAUAAUAGACCCCCCCCCCCCCCCCUAGCGUAGCGUUUUUCGCGUGCUGUAACAAUAUACAGAUAUUAUAGCGUUGGCCCUGUGUUAUAUUAUACCUAUUUAUAGCGAUUUCUUUUCGCUAUUUAAAUAUUUUAUGUGGCACUUUUCGUGUGCCAUAAAAUAUUUUGUUAUGACAUUUGUUUUUUGUCAUGGAAUACCUUUUUGUAACUCAGUUUGUUUUGGAUUUUUGAACAUUUAAUAGCAAUUUUUUUGUGCCAUUGAAUAUUAUAAUACAGCGUUUUACUUGUGCUAUAACGUUUAUUUUCAUAGGUAAUACUGAAUAGCUAAUAUUUUCUAUAUUGACACAUUUUUCGGUUUGAUUUACUAUUUUUUUUUAUGGGAUAUAGAAUUGGAAAAUAUUGUAAAAAAAGAAAAUUAAAAAAUAGAAAUUUUAGUAAUUGUAACCAGACUAGAAAUAUGCAAAAAGCACUAUAAUGUGCUGACAAUUGAUUCAUCAUAUAGCAAAAAAACACAUACAUAAACAACAGACAUAAACAACAUACAUAAACAACAAUUAGUAAUGACGGCCAGACUUGGUUCGCGAGGACUGUCCUUGUGCUUGUGGUGGGCGUCUGAAAAGAGAUGAGUUUCUGAACAUUGGGUCGAUGUCUUCUUCAGGUUCCUCAAUGCGUGUCAAGUAGCCAAGAGAGGUUCUGAACUCUGUUCUGGUUAUCUCCUCCACAUCAUUUCCUCCCGAGGACUGUCCUCGUUCUUGUUCUCUGUUGAGUGCUUCUUGUUGUGGUUUUUGUUUUUGGAGUAGUUGUGGUCUCACUCCAGAUGCCGGCAGUGCACAUACGAUGCUCUUCCUUCCUUCCAUUAUAGUUUCUAGACUGUAAAGUUAACACAAGUUAGAACUUUAAUAGAUAUUUGAAUAUGAAUAUCUAAACUGAAAAUGAAAACUUAUUCGAAGAAGAAAUAAUAAAUCGAAGAUGAUAUUUGAAGAAGAAUAAAUGGAAAUCGAGUAUCUCUGACCUUUGAAGAAGUUCCCAACCCAGAUCUGUGAGGGUUCGAAUCUAUAAGGAUCUGUAAGAGUUGUUACCUUUUUAAUUAGAGAAAUAUAUAAUAAUCAUACAGAUGAAAUAAAUCUAGGGUUUAGACUUUAGAGGGCGCAGACCUUUUGAUAUGGAUGAGUUCGAUGGAAACCCAGAGAGAGAAAUCGUGGUCGCUUAAGAGAGAAUCAUGGUUGUUUGAGAUGGAAUCGUGAUGGGUAGACAGUGAUUAGUGGUGGGUCGAGGUGGGCUCGUGGUGUCACAAAGAGAUUUGUGGUGGUUUGAGAUAACUCUCUAACCUAGUUUGCGGUGGGCGUACGUUCUGAGAGAGAAGGAAGGAGAUAAAAGAAAAAACAAUUCUGAACCGUUAGAUUAACAUUUACGAACGGACAAGAUUAUGAUCCUUGCCUUAAAAUAAUCAACCAAUAGGAAGAGAGAACGAGGAUAGCUGAUGGAUGGUGGAUUAUGGGCCUUUGAUCUGAGAUAUCAAUCGAUGGCUAUUAAAAAAAGAAGAGAAAUUAUGUUUCUGGUUAUUUAUAAAUAUUUUUAAAAUUAUCUAAAAUUUGUAAAAAAUAUAAUCAUGAUUCUAAAAUAUAAAUCUAACUUUAGACAUCAAUUUCUAAAUAUAUAAACCACUAAACACUUUAACUACACCAAUAUACCCUAACCCUCAAACUAAACACUACAUAUGCUAACCCUUUCACAAGAAAGAUAAUGUGGAAAGGGAACUACAUCAUGUAUUUUGUGAUUAACAUAUAAUUUUGUCUUAAUGUGUGUUAUAGUUUCUUUAAAACGACCUCAAAACUAUGAUUAGAAUAAACCUUAAAAGAAAUCUCUAAACCUAAUCACUAACAAAAACAUGAGAAU
This is a long non-coding RNA of Brassica rapa (field mustard), 6254 nucleotides long. RefSeq lists it as uncharacterized. Lineage: Eukaryota; Viridiplantae; Streptophyta; Magnoliopsida; Brassicales; Brassicaceae. The record is from RefSeq and is a predicted model, not a curated record.